AGUGAACGCUGGCGGUAGGCCUAACACAUGCAAGUCGAACGGCAGCACAGUAAGAGCUUGCUCUUACGGGUGGCGAGUGGCGGAUGGGUGAGGAAUACAUCGGAAUCUACUUUUUCGUGGGGGAUAACGUAGGGAAACAUACGCUAAUACCGCAUACGACCUACGGGUGAAAGCAGGGGAUCUUCGGACCUUGCGCGAUUGAAUGAGCCGAGGUCGGAUUAGCUAGUUGGCGGGGUAAAGGCCCACCAAGGCGACGAGCCGUAGCUGGUAUGAGCGGAUGAUCAGCCACACUGGAACUGAGACAGGGCCCAGACUCCGACGGGAGGCCGCAGUGGGGAAUCUUGGACAAUGGGGGAAAGCCUGAUCCAGCAAUACCGCGUGGGUGCAGAAGGACUUCGGCUUGGAGAGUCAUUUUGUUGGGAAAGAAAAGCAGCAGGUUCAUCCCCCGCUGUGCUGACGGUACCCAAAGAAUAAGCACCGGCUAACUUCGUG
Molecule: ribosomal RNA, 492 nt
Filed under: uncultured bacterium
Lineage: Bacteria
Description: partial 16S ribosomal RNA
Rfam family: Bacterial small subunit ribosomal RNA
Source: RNAcentral